Molecule: ribosomal RNA, 465 nt
Filed under: Vreelandella stevensii
Lineage: Bacteria; Pseudomonadati; Pseudomonadota; Gammaproteobacteria; Oceanospirillales; Halomonadaceae
Description: partial 16S ribosomal RNA
Rfam family: Bacterial small subunit ribosomal RNA
Source: RNAcentral
CCUACGGGUGGCAGCAGUGGGGAAUAUUGGACAAUGGGCGAAAGCCUGAUCCAGCCAUGCCGCGUGUGUGAAGAAGGCCUUCGGGUUGUAAAGCACUUUCAGUGGGGAAGAAAGCCUUGGGGCGAAUACCCUCGAGGAAGGACAUCACCCACAGAAGAAGCACCGGCUAACUCCGUGCCAGCAGCCGCGGUAAUACGGAGGGUGCGAGCGUGAAUCGGAAUUACUGGGCGUAAAGCGCGCGUAGGCGGUCUGAUAAGCCGGUUGUGAAAGCCCCGGGCUCAACCUGGGAACGGCAUCCGGAACUGUCAGGCUAGAGUGCAGGAGAGGAAGGUAGAAUUCCCGGUGUAGCGGUGAAAUGUGUAGAGAUCGGGAGGAAUACCAGUGGCGAAGGCGGCCUUCUGGACUGACACUGACGCUGAGGUGCGAAAGCGUGGGUAGCAAACAGGAUUAGAUACCCCAGUAGUC